Molecule: long non-coding RNA, 201 nt
Filed under: Musa acuminata (dwarf banana)
Lineage: Eukaryota; Viridiplantae; Streptophyta; Magnoliopsida; Zingiberales; Musaceae
Description: long non-coding RNA (MACU_LNC007541)
Source: RNAcentral
GAGGGGACUGGAAUGCAGCGUUCUGAUAAGAAUCAACUCCUUCUUCCGCCCGCACUAAGGUACGAUUGAGAAUUGACUUCCUCCGCGCAAAGUCCUGAAACAGAAUUAUGAGCUAGGUAUUAUAGAAUUGGGUAACCAAGGAGAGGAAGGAGAUCGGUAUACAGUUGUCCUUAGCCCAAGGUGCUCUUAACCAACCCCGUA